This 208-nucleotide ribosomal RNA is filed under the name uncultured bacterium. Its description in RNAcentral is "partial 16S ribosomal RNA". It matches the Rfam family "Bacterial small subunit ribosomal RNA", at positions 524 to 730 of the family's 1533-position model. The record is from RNAcentral.
UACGUAGGGUCCAAGCGUUAUCCGGAAUCACUGGGCGUAAAGCGUGCGUAGGUGGCGUGUUAAGUGUGAUGUUAAAUCGUGUGGCUCAACCAUAUCGAUGUGUCGCAUACUGGCAUGCUAGAGGACAGCAGAGGCAAGUGGAAUUUGUAGUGUAGCAGUGAAAUGCGUAGAUAUUACAAGGAACACCAAAGUGGACGCAAGGCAUGCU